Molecule: unclassified non-coding RNA, 199 nt
Filed under: plant metagenome
Description: partial contains small subunit ribosomal RNA, internal transcribed spacer 1, and 5.8S ribosomal RNA
Source: RNAcentral
UUUCCGUAGGUGAACCUGCGGAAGGAUCAUUGCCAAUUGAACCGGCGCAAGCCGAAUCAUUGACUGUGCAAAGUUGGGUGUAGACACCGGGGCGCCUACUGCGGUGGGUGCCAACGGCUGCCUACAUUAUUUGAUGACAUACGUUGACCGUUCUCAGUAAACAUUCUGACAACUUUCAGCAACGGAUCUCUUGGUUCUC